UACGGGGGGUGCAAGCGUUGUUCGGAAUUACUGGGCGUAAAGGGCUCGUAGGCGGCCAACUAAGUCAGACGUGAAAUCCCUCGGCUUAACCGGGGAACUGCGUCUGAUACUGGAUGGCUUGAGUUCGGGAGAGGGAUGCGGAAUUCCAGGUGUAGCGGUGAAAUGCGUAGAUAUCUGGAGGAACACCGGUGGCGAAGGCGGCAUCCUGGACCGACACUGACGCUGAGGAGCGAAAGCCAGGGGAGCAAACGGG
This 253-nucleotide ribosomal RNA is filed under the name uncultured bacterium. RNAcentral describes it as "partial 16S ribosomal RNA". It matches the Rfam family "Bacterial small subunit ribosomal RNA", at positions 524 to 776 of the family's 1533-position model. The record is from RNAcentral.